Bombyx mori (domestic silkworm) is the source of this 2309-nucleotide long non-coding RNA. RefSeq lists it as uncharacterized. The record is from RefSeq and is a predicted model, not a curated record. NCBI's taxonomy places the organism in Eukaryota, Metazoa, Arthropoda, Insecta, Lepidoptera, Bombycidae. The transcript has 3 exons.
GAUCGAUGGCUAUGAUCUUCGAUCAACAAUAGUAACUAGAUUUCGGGUCGGUGCAUAAAAUCCGUCUCGUCAAAUAACAGCGCACUUGAAAUGUGAGCUCUUAUUUUGUUUAGUUCACUUCAAACACAGCCAAUGUCAACCCGUCUCACAAUACCGCAGUGUGUAUUCAAAAGUUGCAAAAAUAAGGCCCGAAAAAGCAAUUUAACGGCCGGAGUAUCUUACUUUCUCUUUCCUAGCAAUCACGUGUGCAGAAUAGAUCUCGAUUGUCGCCAGAGAAACAAGAGAUGACUUUUAUAAGCCAGCUAAGAACUCCGCUUAUUGACACUGGACAUCUUUGCCUUCCGUGCUCACGGCUACUGAAAUGUGGCCGAAACAUUGUAAUAAAAAUACCACGCUUGAAACCGUUUAAACGUUGUUUUAUUAUGUGCACUGGUCGCGAAAACUUAAAAAUAUAUAUUACACAAAAACGUAACGCUAAUAAAAUAAUAAGUAAUGUAUAGAUACUAACAAACAUACAUUUCCAAAACAUAAAAAGUAAACAACUAAACUUUUACUUUAAUUCAUUAAUAAAUUAUUUUAGUGUUAGGCGCGACUCCCUUACCUCCUGUAGUAAAUAGAAAUCGGCAUUUCAAGAAGCAAAAAUAAAUAAAGCAAAACGAUGUUCGUUCUCAGAGCAAUUAAGGGAAAAGUUACUUUAUUUGUUGCACUUUAAGAUUGAUUUAACAUUAAAAGUUGUUUAAAAUAUGUCUUUUUAUUGGUAAGUGACAGGAGUAAUUUAUUGCUUUGCUCGUUUUAUGUGACGAAUGAUCGUAAGUAUUAGAUAAUGUUUUGGAGAUUUGUGACUUUAUUACUAGGUGCCAUAGUUGUUAUUAGUUUGAAAGUAAAAGUGUUUCAAAACUUUUUUCUCCGUUUGUUAGUAAACGAAUGUAGCUAUAUAAGUAUAUAUUCACGCGGACAGUUUUUGCUUUAAUUUUGUACGUAUCCCUUUAUCUAGUUACUAUUGUUGAUCGAAGGCUAUGAUACAAUAAUUUCACUCUUAAUACCCUGACCAGUAUGUACAGAAUAAAAAGUAAAAUAAAAUUAAUUUUUAGUUCAAUUUACUAUUUUGUUGCAGGUUUUUUAGUAAAAUACAUACAUUUAAUAAGUGUGCCGUGAAACAUUGCUCUAAUAUUCAUUAUUUAAAUGGACGUUGUAUUACAGCUUAAUAUUAUUGACUGCUAGACGGAUUUCGGCUAGGAGCUCACGACUUACUGCUCACCUUUUAUUAUAUGAAGUCGUCGUGGCCUGACGGAUAAGACGUCCGGUGCAUUCGUGUUGUACGAUGCACCGGUGUUCGAAUCUCAGGCGGGUACCAAUUUUUCUAAUGAAAUACGUACUCAAUAAAUGUUCGCGAUUGAUUUCCAUGGUGAAGGAAUAACAUCGUGUAAUAAAAAUGAAACGCGCAAAAUUAUAAUUUGCGUAAUUACUGGUGGUAGGACCUCUUGUGAGGCCGCGCGGGUAGGUACCACCGCCCUGCCUAUUUCUACCGUGAAGCACUAAUGUGUUUCGGUUUGAAUGAAGGGUGGGGCAGCCGUUGUAACUAUACUUGAGACCUUAGAACUUAUAUCUCAAGGUGGGUGGCGCAUAUACGUUGUGGAUGUCAAUGGGCUCCAGUAACCACUUAACACCGGGUGGGCUGUGAGAUCGUCCACCCAUCUAAGCAAUAAAAAAAAGAAAAAUAUAGCUACCGAAACCUAUGGACAUGACGAUAUAAAUGCCAAACAUCACCUAUAAGUGAGACACGUAUCAAUCCUCACUGUAUUACUAUAACCGCUAUCUGACCUGUUAAAACGAAACGACUGCUUCUUUGCAGGAAUGGACCAGCAUGACUGCUAUAUGUUCAUAAUACACCACACAUCGGAUUCAAAAAUUAUAUUAAUAGCAAAAUAUAAAGCUUACACGAAGACCGUGCCUUUACUCAUUCAGAAUGUAACUCAAUCCAAACAAAGCCUUUUAACAUAAUUAGAUUUGAAUAGUACAUAAUGAAGCUGGUAUCGUAGACGCCCAACUUUCUGAGUAUUAUUGUUUUUUUAUUAUAUACGUUUUCAUCAAUUGACAAAAAACACAAGUGUAUUUCCAAGAAUUACCCAAACACUCACCACAAUACGAGCUCAUGAUAUUUUUUUUGUCAAUUUGAUUACAACAGACUAUGUUGUUUGCCAUUAAGACAUUCACCUAUCUAAAUGGCAAACAGCAUGGUUUAUUUUCGAUCAAUCACCUUUGUAAAUCCGCAUACAAAUAAAAUCUUAAGUUUAAUUGCACGAAAAAAA